RNAcentral lists this ribosomal RNA (467 nucleotides) under uncultured bacterium. RNAcentral's name for it is "partial 16S ribosomal RNA". It matches the Rfam family "Bacterial small subunit ribosomal RNA", at positions 28 to 507 of the family's 1533-position model. The record is from RNAcentral.
GAUGAACGCUGGCGGCGUGCUUAACACAUGCAAGUCGAACGGAAAGGCUCCUGCUUGCAGGGGUACUCGAGUGGCGAACGGGUGAGUAACACGUGGGUGAUCUGCCCUGCACUUCGGGAUAAGCCUGGGAAACUGGGCCUAAUACCGGAUAGGACCACACUUUGGAUGGUGUGGUGGAGAGUUUUUCGGUGUGGGAGGAGCUCGCGGCCUAUCAGCUUGUUGGUGGGGUAAUGGCCUACCAAGGCGGAGACGGGGAGCCGGCCUGCGAGGGUGUAGGGACACAUUGGAACUGUAAGACGGGCCAGAGUCGGACAGGAGGGAGCAGGGGGGAAUGUUGGACAAUGGGCGAAAGCGUGAGGCAGGAAGGCCGCGGGGUGGAUAAGGGCUUUUGGGGGGUAAGAAACUCUGGCGAGGGACGAAGCGUUGUUGUGACGGUACCUGAAGAAGAAGCACCGGCUAACUACGUG